GAUGAACGCUGGCGGCGUGCCUAAUACAUGCAAGUCGAGCGAACAGACGAGGAGCUUGCUCCUCUGACGUUAGCGGCGGACGGGUGAGUAACACGUGGAUAACCUACCUAUAAGACUGGGAUAACUUCGGGAAACCGGAGCUAAUACCGGAUAAUAUAUUGAACCGCAUGGUUCAAUAGUGAAAGACGGUUUUGCUGUCACUUAUAGAUGGAUCCGCGCCGCAUUAGCUAGUUGGUAAGGUAACGGCUUACCAAGGCAACGAUGCGUAGCCGACCUGAGAGGGUUGUCGGCCACACUGGAACUGAGACACGGUCCAGACUCCUACGGGAGGCAGCAGUAGGGAAUCUUCCGCAAUGGGCGAAAGCCUGACGGAGCAACGCCGCGUGAGUGAUGAAGGUCUUCGGAUCGUAAAACUCUGUUAUUAGGGAAGAACAAAUGUGUAAGUAACUAUGCACGUCUUGACGGUACCUAAUCAGAAAGCCACGGCUAACUACGUGC
Molecule: ribosomal RNA, 498 nt
Filed under: uncultured bacterium
Lineage: Bacteria
Description: partial 16S ribosomal RNA
Rfam family: Bacterial small subunit ribosomal RNA
Source: RNAcentral